UAGGUAGUCGCUCUUGGGUAACU
Molecule: microRNA, 23 nt
Filed under: Eisenia fetida (common brandling worm)
Lineage: Eukaryota; Metazoa; Annelida; Clitellata; Crassiclitellata; Lumbricidae
Description: Efe-Mir-2687_5p (mature (guide))
Source: RNAcentral